RNAcentral lists this ribosomal RNA (510 nucleotides) under uncultured bacterium. Its description in RNAcentral is "partial 16S ribosomal RNA". It matches the Rfam family "Bacterial small subunit ribosomal RNA", at positions 28 to 507 of the family's 1533-position model. The record is from RNAcentral.
GACGAACGCUGGCGGCGUGCUUAACACAUGCAAGUCGAACGAAGAGCGAUGGAAGCUUGCUUCUAUCAAUCUUAGUGGCGAACGGGUGAGUAACGCGUAAUCAACCUGCCCUUCAGAGGGGGACAACAGUUGGAAACGACUGCUAAUACCGCAUACGAUCUAAUCUCGGCAUCGAGGACAGAUGAAAGGUGGCCUCUAUUUAUAAGCUAUCACUGAAGGAGGGGAUUGCGUCUGAUUAGCUAGUUGGAGGGGUAACGGCCCACCAAGGCGAUGAUCAGUAGCCGGUCUGAGAGGAUGAACGGCCACAUUGGGACUGAGACACGGCCCAGACUCCUACGGGAGGCAGCAGUGGGGAAUCUUCCGCAAUGGACGAAAGUCUGACGGAGCAACGCCGCGUGAGUGAUGACGGCCUUCGGGUUGUAAAGCUCUGUUAAUCGGGACGAAAGGCCUUCUUGCGAACAGUUAGAAGGAUUGACGGUACCGGAAUAGAAAGCCACGGCUAACUACGUG